Molecule: non-coding RNA, 278 nt
Organism: Salvia hispanica
Lineage: Eukaryota; Viridiplantae; Streptophyta; Magnoliopsida; Lamiales; Lamiaceae
Source: RefSeq, a predicted model, not a curated record
CUUGUGGUUUAGUUGCUCAAACAGCUGUGAACGUAUACUGUUGUGGGUUGAGUAACAGCAUAGAAAUGGGUUGCUUAUCCCAGAAAAUCAGUCAGUUCUUUAUUGCACCAAAAAGAGGAAAAAACGAAAUCUUUAUUUUUCUAGAAGUAACUAGGUUUCCGGCAAGGAUUUGGGGUUUGUAAGAGGUCUGAAUUAUCUAUCGCUGGGAUCACCUCACAUCAUCUACUCCAUCUGCAGUAACUUUCUUCCAUAAGGAAAUCCGAUGGGGUCUAGAUUCC